AUUUAGAGACAGUUGUACCCCCACUUUUUAAUAGACGAAGAAACUGAGGCCGAGGGAGGGAAAACAAUACUUGUGAAAGACCACAGAGAAACCUGGUGAGACAGCUGAGGCCACACUGGAGUUCUCCUAGGGCCACAUUCUCUCCUACACCCAGAAAAAGUGAAUGCGAAUGUUGGUGAGCCAGCAAAAGAGCUGAGGAGGUGUGAUCGCACAGCAGGGCCCAAGUUACUUCCAAACAACGA
RNAcentral lists this long non-coding RNA (242 nucleotides) under Ictidomys tridecemlineatus (thirteen-lined ground squirrel). RNAcentral describes it as "lncRNA (ENSSTOG00000029758.1)". Lineage: Eukaryota; Metazoa; Chordata; Mammalia; Rodentia; Sciuridae. The record is from RNAcentral.